UGAGUCCUUUCUGAAUGACUGUCUCAGCCUUUUCUUUCCUGGGACGAACAUUCGCAGACGACAAGACCAGCCUCGCUGCAAGAGAAUCUAAGGACAGGAGCAUUCCUGCCCUCCUAGCACUACAGGAGGGGAAGGCAACAGGGCGGGGCUACGAAUGCCACGAGGGAACCAAUCCACAGGGUCUGCUACAGUUAAAAAGCAACGUCAAUGACCGGGACUUCCUGUCCCUAAUGGGUGUGCUUUGUGGUAUAGAUGGAUCACACAUAAGUUGUCUAGCCAGCGCUGUGUUGCCAGAUACCUUGCUGGUGGUCCAGGCUUUUAUUGUGAAAAUGAACAUCCUGGUACAAUUCUGAUAACCGUGCCCAGCUGAUCUUCCAUAAUAUUGCAUGAGGCUGCAGUUCCACCAACUGUGGACGAGAGCUCACCACUCUGCUGCCAGUGCCAGUAAUCUUCUGAAGUUCCGACUGCCUCGUGUUUGUUGCAAAAGCUCCUCCCCAUUCUGGCUCCUGCCUUGCCUCUGUGGAGCAGGACUUCAGAGCUACCUGAGAGGCUGCAUCCUGGGCUAUCGUCCUCAGAGUACAUCGUGAGAAACGCUGGGCUAGAAGAAGCACAAGCUGGAAUCAAGAUUGCUGGGAGAAAUAUCGAUAACCUCAGAUAUGCAGAUGACACCACCCUUAUGGCAGAAAGUGAAGAAGAACUAAAAAGCCUUGAUGAAAGUGAAAGAGGAGAGUGAAAAGGUUGGCUUAAAGCUCAACAUUCAGAAAACUAAGAUCAUAACCCUGUAUGCGAGACAGCAAAAGAGACACAGAUGUGUAGAACAGUUUUUUGGACUCUGUGGGAGAGGG
Molecule: long non-coding RNA, 845 nt
Organism: Bos taurus (domestic cattle)
Lineage: Eukaryota; Metazoa; Chordata; Mammalia; Artiodactyla; Bovidae
Source: Ensembl